Molecule: ribosomal RNA, 433 nt
Filed under: uncultured bacterium
Lineage: Bacteria
Description: partial 16S ribosomal RNA
Rfam family: Bacterial small subunit ribosomal RNA
Source: RNAcentral
AACGAACGCUGGCGGCAUGCCUAACACAUGCAAGUCGAACGAGACCUUCGGGUCUAGUGGCGCACGGGUGCGUAACGCGUGGGAACCUGCCCUUAGGUUCGGAAUAACUCCCCGAAAGGGGUGCUAAUACCGGAUAAUGUCUUCGGACCAAAGAUUUAUCGCCUUUGGAUGGGCCCGCGUUGGAUUAGCUAGUUGGUAGGGUAAAAGCCUACCAAGGCGACGAUCCAUAGCUGGUCUGAGAGGAUGAUCAGCCACACUGGGACUGAGACACGGCCCAGACUCCUACGGGAGGCAGCAGUGGGGAAUAUUGGACAAUGGGCGAAAGCCUGAUCCAGCAAUGCCGCGUGAGUGAUGAAGGCCUUAGGGUUGUAAAGCUCUUCUACCCGGGAUGAUAAUGGCAGUACCGGGAGAAUAAGCUCCGGCUAACUCCGUG